GGCCCACACAAGUGCUUGAGUUUAUGGUUCUUCGGGUCCUUCAAUCUUCUUGUUCCCUCUCAUGUUGCUCCACUCCGCUCCUGUCCUCCUACAAAACAUUAGGGCUUCCUUGUUCCUAUAGCAACCCCUCCUCAUCUCUCUAUCAGGGUGUAUAUACAUAGCUAGUCUCCAGGGUAUUCGUUCUCCAACUCAGCAAAGAUAUUGGCAAUUAUGUGCUUGUUAGGAGUGGGCCGGAGAUAAGAAAGAUGUGUCUUGUGUCUGAUUACUCUUGCUCUGUGUUCCUGGGAGAGGCUUGGGAGUUCUCGGGGGGGGGGGACUGUGCCCAACCCCGUUUCUUAAUCUAGUCGGGGUCCUGGUGGAAAUAUUGCACUUUUGCAUGUAUUGGAUUAUUCAUGCAUGUAAUAUUGAGUAAAUGGGAAUGUGGAAGAGCUCUUAUGUGAGGUGAUAGUUAUGAGCAUUAGGCACCACAAGCCCUCUUAAUUCCUUUUUUCCCUCUCUUUGGACAGUUUGAACAGGCUUUUCAGGGCAUGGACACCUCACACGCUCUAUUGUGUUGUAAAUGAGACAGAGUUUUGGUUUAAUACAGUGUCCAAUAAGGGUAAAAGGUGCUGGGUUUCAGCAAAAAUUUCAAGGUCGAAACCUCACUUUAAGCUCUUUCAGCAAUCACCCACACACACAUGUGCAGACACAUCAACACAUACAUGCACAUAAACCAUCUCAGCCAGAGCCAUGUGUUGAUGAGACAGGAGCGUGAGGGUUGUAUGUGCGUCGCUAAUGUAAUUCCAUCUCGCCAGAUGGCCUGUUUUUUGUUUUUUUUUUUGUUUUUUUUCUUCCAAAAACAUACUUUUUUUUCUUCCCCCAUCUUUUUUGAUCCUCUCUCAUUCCUCCUCUUCCUCCUGCACCUCUUGUUCCAGCUCUCUCAUCAUUCACACUUUCUCCUUCUUCUCACCUCUCCAACUUGUGUUUUUACAGCCUCACCUGUGCUUUUCUUCUUCUGCACUUAUUUAACAGUUCGUGGCCUCUCACUUACCCAUUGUGUCAUCUUAAGCAAGACUCAUUAUUAUCAGUCAAUCAGCGGCGAAGUCUCUUAUGUAGCAGUUCCGUCUCCACUCGAGUAUUUUGCGAUGUUGUUCCGCUCACUCAUGUACUCACAAACACAUGUCGAAGCCCCUGUUCAGCUGUUAUCUCUGUGGCUGUUUGAUCAGUCAGAUAGCGUGUGUGUCAGAUGUUAGACUGACAUGUUUCCUAUGCUCAGGGCUGUUCUCCAGAGGCACGGCGGUCAGAAAAGCUCAUUUGAUUGGACUGAUGCUGCAGGCUCAGAGCACAGGGCCCAGUCGAGUGAUGUCUGAGCUGAUUCUAAUGCACUGCAGCAUGUGUCAAACAUAGAGCGACACAGUGGUUGCAUUCCAAAACCAAGGAUACUGUACACACUCCCUGCUCUCCCCCCAUCUUUAUCUGCUGCCCUUGAGCAAACCACGUCAAGGCUCAUCAUCAUAGAGCCAGUCGGGAAAAUUAACUGCAAGGGUGUUUUCUGUUCUCCAGCUUGUCAUGAAAAUAGACCAUUAGGGCUGUAGCAUCA
Astatotilapia calliptera (eastern happy) is the source of this 1579-nucleotide long non-coding RNA. The record is from Ensembl. Lineage: Eukaryota; Metazoa; Chordata; Actinopteri; Cichliformes; Cichlidae.